AGAGUUUGAUCAUGGCUCAGAAUGAACGCUGGCGGCGUGUCUUAAGCAUGCAAGUCGAACGUGAAAGUUGUCUUCGGACAGCGAGUAAAGUGGCGGACUGGUGAGUAACGCGUAAAUAAUCUGCCUUUUAGUUUGGGAUAAUGUCUCGAAAGGGGCACUAAUACCGAAUGUGAUUAAUAAUUCACGUGGUUAUUAAUUAAAGAUGGCUGAGCUUGAUGCUAUCGCUAAAAGAUGAGUUUGCGUCCUAUUAGCUAGUUGGUGGGGUAAUGGCCUACCAAGGCAACGAUGGGUAGCCGGCCUGAGAGGGUGAACGGCCACAUUGGGACUGAGAUACGGCCCAGACUCCUACGGGAGGCAGCAGCUAAGAAUAUUCCGCAAUGGACGAAAGUCUGACGGAGCGACGCCGCGUGGACGAUGAAGGCCUUCGGGUUGUAAAGUCCUUUCAAGAAGGAAGAUGGAUUAAAAGGUGAAUAAUCUUUUAAUUUGACUGUACUUCUAGAAGAAGCCCCGGCUAAUUACGUGCCAGCAGCCGCGGUAAUACGUAUGGGGCGAGCGUUAUUCGGAUUUAUUGGGCGUAAAGCGUAUGCAGGUGGUUUGAUAAGUUGGAUGUGAAAUCUUUGGGCUUAACCCAAAAAUUGCAUUCAAAACUGUCAGACUAGAGUUUAGGAGAGGAGAAUGGAAUUCCAGGUGUAGGGGUGAAAUCUGUAGAUAUCUGGAAGAACACCAGUGGCGAAGGCGAUUCUCUGGCCUAAAACUGACACUCAGAUACGAAAGCUAGGGUAGCGAACGGGAUUAGAUACCCCGGUAGUCCUAGCCCUAAACGUUGAUCACUAGAUGUAGGAAGUAUUGACCCUUUCUGUGUCGAAGGCUAACGUAUUAAGUGAUCCGCCUGGGGAGUACGAUCGCAAGGUUGAAAACUCAAAGGAAUUGACGGGGGGGCCCCGCACAAGCGGUGGAGCAUGUGGCUUAAUUCGAUGAUACGCGAGGAACCUUACCUGGUCUUGACAUGUAGGAAGUAGAAACCUGAAAGGGUGACCACUGGUAUCCAGUCCAGAGCCUACACAGGUGCUGCAUGGCUGUCGUCAGCUCGUGUCGUGAGAUGUUGGGUUAAGUCCCAUAACGAGCGCAACCCUUAUCUUUAGUUGCCAUCAGAGCUUAUGCUGCUGGGCACUCUGAAGAGACUGCCGGUGACAAACCGGAUGGAAGGUGGGGAUGACGUCAAGUCCUCAUGGCCUUUAUGACCAGGGCUGCACACGUGCUACAAUGGGUUGUACAAAGAGUUGCAAGACCGCGAGGUUGAGCUAAUCUCAGAAAGCAACCCUCAGUUCGGAUUGUAGUCUGCAAUUCGACUACAUGAAGUUGGAAUCGCUAGUAAUCGCGCAUCAGCUACGGCGCGGUGAAUACGUUCCCGGGCCUUGUACACACCGCCCGUCACAUCACCCGAGUCGGAUGUACUUGAAUCUGCUGUGCUAACCGCAAGGAGGUAGGCAGUGAAAGUGUGUUUGGUAAGGGGGAUGAAGUCGUAACAAGGUA
This 1533-nucleotide ribosomal RNA is filed under the name uncultured bacterium. RNAcentral's name for it is "bacterial SSU rRNA". It matches the Rfam family "Bacterial small subunit ribosomal RNA". The record is from RNAcentral.